Labrus bergylta (ballan wrasse) is the source of this 1268-nucleotide non-coding RNA. The record is from RefSeq and is a predicted model, not a curated record. NCBI's taxonomy places the organism in Eukaryota, Metazoa, Chordata, Actinopteri, Labriformes, Labridae.
GAGGUGGAGGAGGGCGACUACGAGGUGGAGGAGGCGACGGAUUUCUUCACAGAACCAGAAGAAAAAGAAACUGAAAGGUUUUCGACUCCCACAGUCCGGUCUGACAGGAGGCGCAGUAUCAGCGGUCAGAGCAGUGACUCAGGAGACCACAUCCACCUCUGGAUCCGCAUCCUACCUCAUAAUCCCCCUGCCGACAUCACCAGCCCGAACUGUAAAUUAUAUCAUCUACCUUUAAAAUCUGAAAUAAAUCAGUGAAGGAUCGAGAGUGAGCUGGUUCUGAUCAGAACUUAUUCUGUUUCAGCGUUCAGCCGGUUCCCGUCACACAAGCUGAAGUGUCCUCGCGCUCUGCAGGAGGAGGACUUCCUGAACCUGCUGAGGUCCACGUUCCCUCAGCUGGCCGCUCCGACACGUUUUGACUUGUUCACAGAAAAUUGGGGGAAACUGAAGCCGCUCGAAGUCCAGACGCUGACGCCCGAGGAGAUGUUCAGAACCACCAGGCUCUGGACCUUCUUCACCGGCUGAAGGUGACCGGCAGCUUCUUUAAGGUCGCACUGAUGCGUUGCGUUUGCUUUGUUUUUGUAGCAAGUGAAUCUGUUUGGUUUCUGUGUAACUCUGACCCCCUGGUGUUUAAAACAGGUACUGCAGUGUGUGAGCAUGUUUCCUGGGUUGGUCAUUUUUAGCAUGAUUUUGUGCUCCCUCUAAAGCCACGCCCCCUCACUUACAUGCAUGAGCUGCUAAAGGGACAAAAUAAUGAUUAAUGCAAAUUAAAAUAGACUGCAUCAGUUUCCUUUAACUACAUCGUGAUUAUUGCAUUAACGCCGACCGCUCUGGUUUCUGUCUCGUUGAAUCAAGUCUCUCGAUUUCUCUUUGUGGUGUAAUAGUCAUCGUUGCUGUUUUUUCCAUCAGAGUUCAUCUCUGAAGUCAAAGAUCAAAUAUUUUUAUAAUCUGUAAAUUGAAAGUCAAUAAGUAGUCAGUCAUCAUCACUGACUUCUGCGGUGAACCUGAAGUCAUCCGGGGAAUAUAUUAUUAUAUUAGUUAAUAUUUAUUUAACUCUGAAACUGCAAACUGGUUACCACACUGUGUAAUAUCUGUUAAACACAGUUCAUCUUGUACAUUCAGAAUGUCAAUAUUGAUUUAUCUUGUAUAUAUAUCUUAUUAUUGUAGCCCUACUUGGUACUUACUGCUUAUUCUAUUUUAUUUCCUACUGCUGUAUUCCUUUGAAGAGCAAUGGUAACAUCUGGGAUUAAUAAAGUAUUUCUGAUUCUGAA